ACUGCAGCCCCAACUACUACUACUGCAGCCCCAACUACUACUACUGUGGCCCCAACUACUACAACUGUAGUACCAAUUACUACUACUGGAGUACCAUCUACAACUACUGUAGUACCAACUACUACUGCCGUACCAACCACUACAAUUGUAGUACCAACUACUACUACUGCAGCCCCAACUACUACUUCUGUAGCCCCAACUGCUACAACUGUAGUACCAAUUACUACUACUGGAGUACCAACUACAGCUACUGUAGUACCAACUACUACUGCAGUACCAACCACUACAACUGUAGUACCAACUACUAUUACUGAAGUACCAACUACUACUACUGGAGUACGAACUACUACUAUAUCCCCAACUACUACUACUACUACUACUACAGCACCAACUACUACAACGACCAAACCAGCUACAAGUACAACCCAGGCAGCCGUCCCAGCCGCUACUGCUACUACUACGACUACUACUACUACUACUACUACAACUACUGCCUCCUCAGCUGUGUCUUUGGUGAGAUUGAGCUUGGUCCAUUCUCUUCUGGGACUCAUCCUGAUGCUUCUGUUUUAACUGAAACACAAAUGUGUUGAAGUUCUUGUGUUUUACAGUUUGUAUUAUUCUUUGUGUAUGACAUGUAUUUAAGAAACUUAUAAAUCUGACUAUUUAUUCUGUGUAAAUUGUAUUCACAUCUUUUGAUGUCCAGACGUCAGUUUCAGAUCUUGUUUAUUAUUCCACAUGUUAAAAAAGUCCAGUCUACUGCGGGCAGUAAAAGCUUCAACACUUUUCAGUGAAGUCUCAGAGAUGCCUCUGAGUUUGAAGUAUUUGUGUUAUUUAUUCUUCUGUAUUGUUUUGUAUUUGUACAUAUGAUAAUAAAUAUUUAUUUUAACAAAGAA
Molecule: long non-coding RNA, 893 nt
Organism: Boleophthalmus pectinirostris (great blue-spotted mudskipper)
Lineage: Eukaryota; Metazoa; Chordata; Actinopteri; Gobiiformes; Gobiidae
Exons: 2
Source: RefSeq, a predicted model, not a curated record